Molecule: RNA transcript, 803 nt
Organism: Ipomoea triloba (trilobed morning glory)
Lineage: Eukaryota; Viridiplantae; Streptophyta; Magnoliopsida; Solanales; Convolvulaceae
Exons: 4
Source: RefSeq, a predicted model, not a curated record
AACAAAAGUGUAUUCCUAGGUAAUCCACUCUGUGUUACUUUACAACAAGGCAACAAAAGGGGAAUUGACUUCUCUGCAAGGGCAAAGGGGAAGGUCCUUUCCUUGUAGUUUAGGAUUCAAGGCUAGAAGUUGGUGACUCCGUGAUUGCGUAUAGUAACGUGAUACAACUUAGCGGUUAAGAAAGCGGGCGAAGGGCGAGGAAGGAAGAGAAAGAUGGGUUGCUUCGAUUGCUUCGAUGGAGGAGCAAAGAAGGUGCAAAGGAAAGAAGCGGAACGAUUAGCUUCAGAGGAAGCUCGUGCCAAAGCCGCCGAAGCUGCCCAGAAAAGACAAGAGCAGUUUGAACAAUCUGCUGCUGGAAGAGCUGCACGUGCGCAGAUGGAAUCAAUGGCCAAACAGUCUGCAAAUCCUAACAAAGGAGAACCUGUUCUCAAGUGGCAGAUGGGGUGAAGAUCUCAAAGGCUGACUCAUGCUAUACGCUGCAAGUAUGUAUAAUGAAGCCCUCAUGGAUGAUGAACCAUGUAGUCUUUGACAGUAAGUCCCAAUUGAAAAGCAAUUUUAUUGAAGUUGCAGAUGUGUGUGUGGUAGCUCUGUUCUUCUGUGAAUUCACAUGUUCAUGAACUCAUCUUUUACUCAGAACGAUGCAAGCAUUCCUUCCAUCCUUUGCAUAUACAAUUGUUAUAUCAUGGACCAGGUCCAUCAUGCGUUAUGCAUUGUGAAUCCAGUUCACGUUAUGUAUUGUAGUGCAAUUAAUAUAUUAUGUACCUUUAGUUAACUGAGAUUAUGUAUCGUUAAUGUACAUAUAA